UGCAUCGUGUGUGACCUCCCUA
RNAcentral lists this microRNA (22 nucleotides) under Ornithorhynchus anatinus (platypus). RNAcentral describes it as "oan-miR-1421x-3p". Lineage: Eukaryota; Metazoa; Chordata; Mammalia; Monotremata; Ornithorhynchidae. The record is from miRBase by way of RNAcentral.